RNAcentral lists this long non-coding RNA (754 nucleotides) under Rattus norvegicus (Norway rat). RNAcentral's name for it is "long non-coding RNA NONRATT027234". Lineage: Eukaryota; Metazoa; Chordata; Mammalia; Rodentia; Muridae. The record is from RNAcentral.
UCUUCUACAUCUCUAUAGCCUUCUCCAAUGCGAAUGUCGCUGCCCCUGGUGUUAGACAUUCAGGGUGUGGACCACCCUCCCUGACUGUCCACUGCUGACCAGGAGUCUGGCUUCCUUCGUCUCUAUUUGGAUUUCAGCCAGCAACCUAAGUAGGCGGAUACUGUUUGUACUGUAGGUUGGCUCACUGCCGUCUCCAUAAUGUCGGGUUGUCAGAAAAGUCAGGGUGUGGAAGACUGGCCUUGAGCUUGGCCAUAGUGAUCUCGGCAUUGGGUGGGGUGAUGUUUUUCCCCAUGCCUCUUUCUGUGUCCUGUAUGAGGCCUCUGUAUAGUCAGGUAAACCUGAGGUGUGACUCAGGCUUCUCCCAGAUACUGCUAACGUUGUCCCAGCCUGUAACUCUGCCUAGUGCAGUCCUGGACUCAGCUCUGCUCAUGUCCUGGAUUAAACUGUCUCCCCACCCCUCUGCCUCUUCUUUCUCCCUUUUCCAGUUGCCUCUAGGUCUCCACCAAACUGAGACUGUCAGGAACCUCAUUUUGUUCUGGGCAAGGCUACUACAUGGUUGUGUGUUGACUACUUCAUGGAAUUGUCUUGUCUAUCAGUCAGAACUGGGCUUAAUCUUAAGGAAGAGGGUCUAGGAGAGACUUGAAGACAGGUUUCUCUGAGCUUUUUGAAGAAGAGUCCAGUAUUCCAAAGCCUGACCCCUCCCAGUAUCAUAGAACCUCUGUACCUAGUUGCCCCUGGUAGGGAGGACCCAUGC